This 301-nucleotide ribosomal RNA is filed under the name uncultured bacterium. RNAcentral describes it as "partial 16S ribosomal RNA". It matches the Rfam family "Bacterial small subunit ribosomal RNA", at positions 509 to 809 of the family's 1533-position model. The record is from RNAcentral.
CAGUAGCCGCGGUAAUACGUAGGGUGCGAGCGUUAAUCGGAAUUACUGGGCGUAAAGCGAGCGCAGACGGUUAUUUAAGCAGGAUGUGAAACCCCCGGGCUUAACCUGGGAACUGCGUUCUGAACUGGAUAGCUAGAGUGUGUCAGAGGGGGGUAGAAUUCCACGUGUAGCAGUGAAAUGCGUAGAGAUGUGGAGGAAUACCGAUGGCGAAGGCAGCCCCCUGGGAUAACACUGACGUUCAUGCUCGAAAGCGUGGGUAGCAAACAGGAUUAGAUACCCGCGUAGUCCCUGUCUCUUAUAA